This 253-nucleotide ribosomal RNA is filed under the name uncultured bacterium. RNAcentral's name for it is "partial 16S ribosomal RNA". It matches the Rfam family "Bacterial small subunit ribosomal RNA", at positions 524 to 776 of the family's 1533-position model. The record is from RNAcentral.
UACGUAGGGGGCAAGCGUUAUCCGGAUUUACUGGGUGUAAAGGGAGCGUAGACGGCCAGACAAGUCUGAAGUGAAGAUCCAGCGCUUAACGUUGGAAGUGCUUUGGAAACUGCCGGGCUAGAGUGCAGGAGGGGCAGGCGGAAUUCCUAGUGUAGCGGUGAAAUGCGUAGAUAUUAGGAGGAACACCAGUGGCGAAGGCGGCCUGCUGGACUGCAACUGACGUUGAGGCUCGAAGGCGUGGGGAGCAAACAGG